AACUGGAGGGAAGGUGGGGAUGACGUCAAAUCAUCAUGCCCCUUAUGACCUGGGCUACACACGUGCUACAAUGGGCAGAACAAAGGGCAGCGAAGCCGCGAGGCUAAGCCAAUCCCACAAAUCGGUUCUCAGUUCGGAUCGCAGUCUGCAACUCGACUGCGUGAAGCUGGAAUCGCUAGUAAUCGCGGAUCAGAAUGCCGCGGUGAAUACGUUCCCGGGCCUUGUACACACCGCCCGUCACACCACGAGAGUUUGUAACACCCGAAGUCGGUGAGUUAACCUUUUGGAGCCCGCCGCCGAAUGUGGGACACAUGAUUGGGGUGAAGUCGUAACAAGGUAGCCGUAUCGGAAGGUGCGGUUGGAUCACCUCC
RNAcentral lists this ribosomal RNA (371 nucleotides) under Bacillus licheniformis. Its description in RNAcentral is "bacterial SSU rRNA". It matches the Rfam family "Bacterial small subunit ribosomal RNA", at positions 1160 to 1530 of the family's 1533-position model. The record is from RNAcentral. Lineage: Bacteria; Bacillati; Bacillota; Bacilli; Caryophanales; Bacillaceae.